AGAGUUUGAUCCUGGCUCAGAAUCAACGCUGGCGGCGUGCCUAACACAUGCAAGUCGCACGAGAAAGGGACUUCGGUCCUGAGUACAGUGGCGCACGGGUGAGUAACACGUGAAUCAUCUACCUUCGAGUGGGGAAUAACUGAGAGAAAUCUUAGCUAAUACCGCAUAAUACCUACGGGUCAAAGCAGCAAUGCGCUUGAAGAGGAGUUCGCGGCAGAUUAGUUAGUUGGCGGGGUAAUGGCCCACCAAGACGAUGAUCUGUAUCCGGCCUGAGAGGGCGCACGGACACACUGGAACUGAAACACGGUCCAGACUCCUACGGGAGGCAGCAGUGGGGAAUUUUGCGCAAUGGGGGAAACCCUGACGCAGCAACGCCGCGUGGAGGAUGAAAUCCCUUGGGAUGUAAACUCCUUUCGAUCGGGAAGAUAAUGACGGUACCG
RNAcentral lists this ribosomal RNA (440 nucleotides) under uncultured bacterium. Its description in RNAcentral is "bacterial SSU rRNA". It matches the Rfam family "Bacterial small subunit ribosomal RNA", at positions 8 to 480 of the family's 1533-position model. The record is from RNAcentral.